AUACGAAGGGGGCUAGCGUUGUUCGGAAUCACUGGGCGUAAAGCGCGCGUAGGUGGAUCAAUUAGUUGAGGGUGAAAUCCCGGGGCUCAACCUCGGAACUGCCUUCAAUACUGUUGAUCUUGAGACCGAGAGAGGCGAGUGGAAUUCCUAGUGUAGAGGUGAAAUUCGUAGAUAUUAGGAAGAACACCAGUGGCGAAGGCGGCUCACUGGCUCGGUACUGACGCUGAGGUGCGAAAGCGUGGGGAGCAAACAGGAUUAGAAACCCUAGUAGUCC
Molecule: ribosomal RNA, 274 nt
Filed under: uncultured bacterium
Lineage: Bacteria
Description: partial 16S ribosomal RNA
Rfam family: Bacterial small subunit ribosomal RNA
Source: RNAcentral